CGGACGCUGGCGGCAGGCUUACACAUGCAAGUCGAACGCCCCGCAAGGGGAGUGGCAGACGGGUGAGUAACGCGUGGGAACAUACCCUUUCCUGCGGAAUAGCUCCGGGAAACUGGAAUUAAUACCGCAUACGCCCUACGGGGGAAAGAUUUAUCGGGGAAGGAUUGGCCCGCGUUGGAUUAGCUAGUUGGUGGGGUAAAGGCCUACCAAGGCGACGAUCCAUAGCUGGUCUGAGAGGAUGAUCAGCCACAUUGGGACUGAGACACGGCCCAAACUCCUACGGGAGGCAGCAGUGGGGAAUAUUGGACAAUGGGCGCAAGCCUGAUCCAGCCAUGCCGCGUGAGUGAUGAAGGCCUUAGGGUUGUAAAGCUCUUUCACCGGAGAAGAUAAUGACGGUAUCCGGAGAAGAAGCCCCGGCUAACUUCGUGCCAGCAGCCGCGGUAAUACGAAGGGGGCUAGCGUUGUUCGGAAUUACUGGGCGUAAAGCGCACGUAGGCGGAUAUUUAAGUCAGGGGUGAAAUCCCAGAGCUCAACUCUGGAACUGCCUUUGAUACUGGGUAUCUUGAGUAUGGAAGAGGUAAGUGGAAUUCCGAGUGUAGAGGUGAAAUUCGUAGAUAUUCGGAGGAACACCAGUGGCGAAGGCGGCUUACUGGUCCAUUACUGACGCUGAGGUGCGA
Molecule: ribosomal RNA, 677 nt
Filed under: Agrobacterium tumefaciens
Lineage: Bacteria; Pseudomonadati; Pseudomonadota; Alphaproteobacteria; Hyphomicrobiales; Rhizobiaceae
Description: bacterial SSU rRNA
Rfam family: Bacterial small subunit ribosomal RNA
Source: RNAcentral